RNAcentral lists this ribosomal RNA (294 nucleotides) under uncultured Geobacter sp. RNAcentral describes it as "partial 16S ribosomal RNA". The record is from RNAcentral. Lineage: Bacteria; Pseudomonadati; Thermodesulfobacteriota; Desulfuromonadia; Geobacterales; Geobacteraceae.
CGGCUAUGCAUCGUCGCCUUGGUGAGCUACUAUCUCACCAACUAGCUAAUGCACCGCAGGCCCAUCCAUGAGCGGCAGAUAAAUCCGCCUUUUAACAUUCUUACUUAUGCAGGAAUGUCGUAUCCGGUAUUAGCUACCGUUUCCGGUAGUUAUCCCAAUCUCAAGGGUAGGUUGCCUACGUGUUACUCACCCGUCCGCCGCUCGAAUCUCAGGAGCAAGCUCCUGAUCUUCGCGCUCGACUUGCAUGUAUUAGGCACGCCGCCAGCGUUCAUCCUGAGCCCAUGAUCAAACUCU